ACCUCUGGCCCUUUUAAAUUGACCAGAUCUAUUAUCUUCAAAGGGAAAAGUCAGGGCAGGCAGUGACCUAGGCCAGGGGAGAUUCUGCCUCAUUUCUACAAAAUAAGUUUAAACAGAAAAACCUGAUUCCACUAUUCAUCUGCCCUGCAGUGGGUGUGGACUGUCCCAGGCUUUCCUUCAGUGAUGUUUUCCUCCUCCUGCGAGUCUGCAAGGUCCAAGCCAGGUCUGCACAGAGCAGGGGACUGGACAGGUUGGGGCAUCUCCCCUUGACAGAACUCAUAAGAAGCUGUCAAUUAGCAGAACUUCAGGAGAAGACCCUGGGGCCAUGUGUCUGAGGGGCAGCCUGCGUGUGUUGGGAGGGCAUGUGCUACCCAUCGUGUGAUGAGAGAAGUGAAGAAGAUUGGAAAAAGUUUCAUAUUCAAAAUAGAACAACAUGAUGGAGUAGGGAAAAGAGCACAGCUUUUGGAAUGUGAUGACCCAGUUCUGAUACUUAGUAUAAACAACCUUGAGCAGGUCUGCAUGCAGAAACCCUGCUAAUUUCAAAGAGGAUUUCCUUUACUAUGGAAAGGAGGAUUGAGAGGAAAAUUAGAAAAGGAUUCCCAUGUAGACCUAGGGAAGAUUUCACCUGUGAAUUAAUUUACUUCGUGCAGUGCUUGGAUUAAGCUGGCAGAACAUGAGAACCACAUCAGCAUGAUCAAAGGCAGGCAAGGAUAAAACAUGUGAUGACCCCAACUUUCUAUGGCUUCCCCCCAACACAACUUGGGUGGCAGGACAUAGUGUCAAAUUGCCACCAUGUAUUUUAAGAAAGGACUCAUAUCUUUUGUUAAAGAGUCUGUAUCGAAACAUAAA
This 849-nucleotide long non-coding RNA is filed under the name Homo sapiens (human). RNAcentral's name for it is "novel transcript". The record is from RNAcentral. Lineage: Eukaryota; Metazoa; Chordata; Mammalia; Primates; Hominidae.